RNAcentral lists this long non-coding RNA (772 nucleotides) under Daucus carota (carrot). Its description in RNAcentral is "long non-coding RNA (DCAR_LNC003358)". The record is from RNAcentral. Lineage: Eukaryota; Viridiplantae; Streptophyta; Magnoliopsida; Apiales; Apiaceae.
ACCUGAAUUUGCUAGAAAAGAUUCUUGAUUUUCUUGACAAAAAUGGAUUGGAUUCCUCCAUUUAGACUGCCACUAAUUCCACUUCACCUUAUACAAGGUACUUACAUCUGAUUCUUUUGUAAGUUGUGACUACAAUUUUUUACUUUUCUACUUUCUUUUAAUGCUUUAUUUUUGUAUGGAUGUGCUCUAUUUUAUUAAUUUGCCAAGGUAAAGUUUUGACCUUUAUUAGUGUUGAAACCUGGCUGUGAUUGUGAGGCUUAUCUGGAAGAUAUUGAAGCUAAAACUAAAUGCAAGCUUCAGAAAUUAGAGGGUUUACUUAGUAGUUAUCCUCUUCCACCUUAAUUAUGUUGUAUCCAGAUGGAAAGGUGUUUAUUAAAGAUUACUGCUGAACUAUGCUCAUUUUGGUCAAUAUUUCAAAAGAGUUCUUGAUAAUGUUGUAACUUGUGGCAUUAUGGAAGCAAAUGUUUCAAUGAAGCAAAACUUCUAGAGGAACCUCAUCUUUCUGUUGUCCUCUACUUGCGUGUUCAUGCACUUUCCACCAAGUUAUCAUCAUAUUCAGGUUCUGUUUUUCCUUGUUCUUGAUGUCAUUUCCGUAUAUUAUCUCAUUUAGUAGCUAUUUGAUCUGUUUGAUGAACAAGUCACUUUGAUGAAUGAUAAUUGGAUUUUCUUUUCAAAAUCUGUUUCUUCUGUACAUCUUCGUCUAUAAUUUAUUUGUUCAAUCUUUUGGUACAAACUAAAUGUUGUUAUCUGCAUUCCUCUUUUUCUUUUGAAG